UCGGAGCAACCUCCGAUCAGGACCUUUUUGUAGGUUACAUUUCAGGAGACCCCAUCUCGCCAUACACUCUAGCGUCUCCGCAUCUUGCGAAAUCUCGCACCAAUAGGUAUAAUAAGGAUAUAUCUGGACAGGGAAUUUUUGAUUGCAUCUGAAUCCAAAUGGUGCCAAUUCUUUUUUCCAGGCCCUUUCAAUCAACCUACAUAAUAGUCCAACGGGAUAAUAGCGUAGAGAGUCCAUAAUAUUUCCACUUAUUACAAACGGAUAAAGAAAACAUACAUAAUCGGCAGCACAGAGCAAGAAGACAACAAUAUACACAAUUUGGAGAUAGCAACCCGACUAUUUAUUACAAUUUUGCAUAGAUCAGAAAUAGAUAUCCCAUUCCAUAGGUAAUUUGGUAUAGCUAGACCAAACUGGGCUUCUAAGUAAAAGCUGAAUGCAUCAAGUCAUUGGUUCUCCCAUUUUUUUUAAAAGAAAAUCUGACUUUGAAACGAGUCGAUUAUCCCGAAUUUACAAUUGGAUUGCAAGGGCAAGCCUUUCACUUGCCUUGGCGUUUCUGUUUCUCCUAACAGAAUUGUUAAAAGAGACGCCUUUGAGCUGGUUGACAGAAUUCGUAGGAAGAUGGCCAGGUAGAGCCAAAUAUUUCUCCACUGUUCCAGUAUAGGCCUCUAUGGGACGCGUGCGCCGGGCUUUGG
This 692-nucleotide long non-coding RNA is filed under the name Elaeis guineensis (African oil palm). RNAcentral describes it as "long non-coding RNA (EGUI_LNC081602)". Lineage: Eukaryota; Viridiplantae; Streptophyta; Magnoliopsida; Arecales; Arecaceae. The record is from RNAcentral.